ACUCCUACGGGAGGCAGCAGUGGGGAAUAUUGCACAAUGGGGGAAACCCUGAUGCAGCCAUGCCGCGUGUGUGAAGAAGGCCUUCGGGUUGUAAAGCACUUUCAGCGAGGAGGAAAGGGUGUAAGUUAAUACCUUACAUCUGUGACGUUACUCGCAGAAGAAGCACCGGCUAACUCCGUGCCAGCAGCCGCGGUAAUACGGAGGGUGCGAGCGUUAAUCGGAAUUACUGGGCGUAAAGCGUGCGCAGGCGGUUUGUUAAGCGAGAUGUGAAAGCCCGGCUCAG
RNAcentral lists this ribosomal RNA (283 nucleotides) under uncultured bacterium. RNAcentral describes it as "partial 16S ribosomal RNA". It matches the Rfam family "Bacterial small subunit ribosomal RNA", at positions 335 to 612 of the family's 1533-position model. The record is from RNAcentral.